RNAcentral lists this ribosomal RNA (517 nucleotides) under uncultured bacterium. RNAcentral describes it as "bacterial SSU rRNA". It matches the Rfam family "Bacterial small subunit ribosomal RNA", at positions 28 to 526 of the family's 1533-position model. The record is from RNAcentral.
GACGAACGCUGGCGGCGUGCCUAAUACAUGCAAGUCGAACGCGUCUACGUUAAUGAAAUCAAUGUGCUUGCACGGCGAUGGAUUUAACAUUAGACGAGUGGCGAACUGGUGAGUAACACGUGGGUAACCUGCCCUCAAGCAGGGGAUAACACUUGGAAACAGGUGCUAAUACCGUAUAACAACAAAAACCGCAUGGUUUUUGUUUGAAAGAUGGUUUCGGCUAUCACUUGAGGAUGGACCCGCGGCGUAUUAGCUAGUUGGUGAGGUAAUGGCUCACCAAGGCAAUGAUACGUAGCCGACCUGAGAGGGUAAUCGGCCACAUUGGGACUGAGACACGGCCCAAACUCCUACGGGAGGCAGCAGUGGGGAAUAUUGGACAAUGGGCGCAAGCCUGAUCCAGCCAUGCCGCGUGAGUGAUGAAGGCCCUAGGGUUGUAAAGCUCUUUCGCACGCGACGAUAAUGACGGUAGCGUGAGAAGAAGCCCCGGCUAACUUCGUGCCAGCCGCCGCGGUAAAAC